Dermochelys coriacea (leatherback sea turtle) is the source of this 3392-nucleotide RNA transcript. It is a transcript of the gene named uridine phosphorylase 1, with no coding region annotated. The transcript has 10 exons. The record is from RefSeq and is a predicted model, not a curated record. NCBI's taxonomy places the organism in Eukaryota, Metazoa, Chordata, Testudines, Dermochelyidae.
GGGGGGGAACAGCCCGCCCGGCGGCGGGGACGCGGGGAGACCAGAGGCCCCCCCCCCGCCGGUACCGGCCCGCAGCAGGUGAGCGCGGGGCACGGACGAAAGCCCCUCUCCGCCCGGCUCGGGCGGCGAGAGGGGGCCAGGCGGAGCCGCUGCCGCAGCGCUGGGGCGGGGCCACGUGCCCUUCCUUCCCCGGGCCCAGGAGGAGCCCGAGCGGCGGCGCGGCUGGGCGGUGCCAGGCAGGGGGCACUGAGGACAUAGAGCAAGGUGCUGGCUUGCGGCGCUCGGUUUCCUGGAAGCGGAGCGAGCGAGGGGGUGCAAAGGGUCCGUGCCGUUGCUACGGGCGCGCCGCUCGCCCGCUUCCUGCCGCUCCCCGGUCCCGGAGCUUGGUCCAGCGGCAGCCGCAGCCAGCUCGGCCAGAGACCGGACUCCGCUGCUUUCUUUCCCAGCUUGGAAGCCGGUGCAAGAGCUCGUGCCAUUCAGAUCCCGCUGGAGCCGGGCAGCCGCUGGCGCUCAGCUUCUCCUGCCGCGCAAGGUCUAACUGUAUAGAAUGGCACCUGGUAUAACAGCUGAGAAGAAGACUGAGGAUGAACAGUCGUCAAAAAACAACUUAAUUCAUCUCUCCAACCCUCACCUUGAGAAAAUGAAAGACGAUAUCCUGUACCAUUUUGCUCUUGGGACUAGCACCCAUGAUUUUCCUGCCUUGUUUGGAGAUGUAAAGUUUGUAUGUGUUGGAGGAAGCCCUUCACGGAUGAAAGGUUUUAUCACCUACAUAGCUGAAGAGCUCGGACUUGGGAGCGUUGGUGCUGACUAUCCCAACAUCUGUGAAGGAACUGACCGUUACACGAUGUACAAAGUAGGACCCGUGUUAUCAGUCAGUCAUGGUAUGGGCAUUCCCUCUAUUGCAAUCAUGUUACAUGAGUUGAUGAAGCUGUUGUAUCACUCCAAGUGUUCCAACGUAACCAUUAUUCGCAUUGGCACCUCAGGUGGAAUAGGUCUGGAGCCAGGCUCAGUGGUAAUAACCAGUCAAUCAGUGGAUGCUACCUUCAAGCCUCAAUUUGAACAGGUUAUUUUAGGAAAGACUAUAAUUCGUAGUACCAAACUAGAUGACCAACUAGCCAAGGAACUGAUGCAGUGCAGUAAGGAGAUAAAUCAGUUCAAUACAGUCAUUGGAAAUACUAUGUGCACUUUGGAUUUCUAUGAAGGCCAAGCCCGUCUGGAUGGUGCAAUCUGCUUAUAUACUGAAGAAGAGAAAUUGCAGUAUUUGAAGGCAGCUUAUGAUGCUGGAGUCCGAAACAUUGAGAUGGAAUCUUCAGUUUUUGCUGCUAUUUGUAAUCUUAGUGGUGUCAGAGCUGCUGUGGUGUGUGUCACACUUCUGAAUCGACUUGAAGGGGAUCAGAUUAGCAGCUUGCAUGAUGUACUUGUGGAGUAUCAGCAGAGACCGCUGAAAUUAGUGGGACACUUUAUUAAGAAGUGCCUUGGGAAAGAGUGAUGUACCCACCCUUUGCUGAUUAUUAGCAGAAGGUCCAGAGCAAGCAAGGAGCCACACCAGUAAACAAACCAAAAUUACAAGCCAGGCAAAGCAAACCAAACAUCUCACCAUUCGUCACUUUUUAAUGGGAAGCUGCAAUAGAACUUUCCUUGCAAUAUUGCAUUGCAAACACAAGAGGGAGCUACACAACCUUAUAAAUACUACUUACAAGGCUUACCCCCUAUUUAUCUCCCAUGAUCGAAAAUGGAAUCCAACAACAGCUGUGUUUUCUCCUGGUUCUAGAGAAAACUUUGCCAGAAACAUUGCCCAAGGAUAAGAACUACCCAGUAUCUGCUUAUGAAGCUGACUAGACAGAGGAAGGAAGAAGUCAUGCUGCAGCAUGCACCUGCCUUCAAGGUAUUCAUCGUUAUCUUUCCCCUAGGUUUUACAUAUUAAAGCCCUUCAUUGAGCCAAUGUACUCAAACUGUUAUUUUUAAACUACCCUUCUAACAGAUCCAUCCCUUAGGCUUCCACAUAUUCUACCACAUGCCAUAUCAAUUUGCUGCAGUUGAAGAGGGGCAGUAUCAAUGGUGAGGUCUGUUGUUCUUAAAGGCCCAGGGAGCUUGUACUUACCAGUGAAGUUAAUUUACAUGCCACAGCAGCAAGAUCCUGAUGUAACCUGAUGUAAGUUUGUUUGGUGCUCUGCAGUCCACAGCCCUCCUUCCAAAGUGGAGGAUGGCCUUGGUCUCUGCAGCCACACCCUCACACAACAAUGGUAGAUACUCCCUACAGGAAGGAGGCACAGAAUCAGUAUGCUGGAGGAGACAGGGGAUACACUGGCUGGUAGAAGGUCUGGCUUAGAGGGUCAACUGAAUAAAGGAAUGAGGAGGGGGCAAUGUCAAAUGAUCAACUGAUUGGUGGGGUCUUGGGAGACAAAAAAUUGAUGGGAUGGGAAUGGCUGUGAGGAUGGGUUUCUUGGGAGCACAUGGGAGGCCCUAGGGCAAAGAACAAAUCAAAGGGUAGCGAAGUCAGGGGAAAGAUAACAGAACAUGGGGCUGGGUGCAAGCAGGAAGACACUUAAAGAUAGAAAGAGAUGGGGGGGCGUUUCCUAUUUUCCACUACUUUGCACAUUGUGUAGUCAGCCGGUCACCAGUCACUAUGAGUGAGUGAAGAAUUCUGAUCUGGUAACAUUUCAUACCCACUUAGCACAGGUGUAAAAGCCAACCCAAGAGUCAAGCCAGUGGAGGAUCAGGAUCAGAUUGAACAAGAUAAAGUAAGCAAAGGAACAAAUAUAAGAGGAGAUGAGAGUUCAGAAGAAAGUGAGGUCCAUCAAGAGUGAGUGAGAUGGAAAAGAAGGGGUUUGGAGGGGCAAUGUGAAUGAAAGCGAUCUGCAAGAAACACACAGAGGGAAAGGGACAGGCAGAUAAGAAAGGGAAAAAUGAGUGAAGAAAGUUUUCUGGGGAAGAUAAAAUGAUGGGAGACAAUUUCAAGUUUUAAUGAACACAGAUUAAUGGCAAAAUAUUAUAUAAUCAAAUACUGGUAUGGUGCUUGUGGGAUGAGUGGGGAAUAGGAACAAGGCAUGAGAAUCUCUUGUUCCUACCAAACAUAUGAGAAACCAGCCAAAACCCCCACAUUUUAUUGAAAAAAAUCAAAAAGAGAACACAAACAAGUGUUGGCAGUGCAUUCUACAGGAGUUUUGAAUAUGGUUUAGUGUCUGACGGGCAAAAUUGUGUUUGAGGGAGUUUAAGUGAAAAAUAUAUAAAUGUCCACUAGGUGGUAACUGCCAAAAUCUUACUGAAAAAAGUCCUUUACACAAAAGGAAUUACAGUAGAGUAGAUGCUCCUUCCUAGCAACAAAUCAGUGGCCUUUUGCUAUGUCCUAAGCAGCCGUUGUUAUGGGGAGUGUCGUCUGACCAAAGGCAUAU